This 1369-nucleotide ribosomal RNA is filed under the name uncultured bacterium. RNAcentral's name for it is "bacterial SSU rRNA". It matches the Rfam family "Bacterial small subunit ribosomal RNA", at positions 28 to 1381 of the family's 1533-position model. The record is from RNAcentral.
GACGAACGCUGGCGGCGUGCCUAAUACAUGCAAGUAGAACGCUGAAGAGAGGAGCUUGCUCUUCUUGGAUGAGUUGCGAACGGGUGAGUAACGCGUAGGUAACCUGCCUUGUAGCGGGGGAUAACUAUUGGAAACGAUAGCUAAUACCGCAUAACAAUGGAUGACACAUGUCAUUUAUUUGAAAGGGGCAAUUGCUCCACUACAAGAUGGACCUGCGUUGUAUUAGCUAGUAGGUGAGGUAACGGCUCACCUAGGCGACGAUACAUAGCCGACCUGAGAGGGUGAUCGGCCACACUGGGACUGAGACACGGCCCAGACUCCUACGGGAGGCAGCAGUCGGGAAUCUUCGGCAAUGGGGGCAACCCUGACCGAGCAACGCCGCGUGAGUGAAGAAGGUUUUCGGAUCGUAAAGCUCUGUUGUAAGUCAAGAACGAGUGUGAGAGUGGAAAGUUCACACUGUGACGGUAGCUUACCAGAAAGGGACGGCUAACUACGUGCCAGCAGCCGCGGUAAUACGUAGGUCCCGAGCGUUGUCCGGAUUUAUUGGGCGUAAAGCGAGCGCAGGCGGUUUGAUAAGUCUGAAGUUAAAGGCUGUGGCUCAACCAUAGUUCGCUUUGGAAACUGUCAAACUUGAGUGCAGAAGGGGAGAGUGGAAUUCCAUGUGUAGCGGUGAAAUGCGUAGAUAUAUGGAGGAACACCGGUGGCGAAAGCGGCUCUCUGGUCUGUAACUGACGCUGAGGCUCGAAAGCGUGGGGAGCGAACAGGAUUAGAUACCCUGGUAGUCCACGCCGUAAACGAUGAGUGCUAGGUGUUGGAUCCUUUCCGGGAUUCAGUGCCGCAGCUAACGCAUUAAGCACUCCGCCUGGGGAGUACGACCGCAAGGUUGAAACUCAAAGGAAUUGACGGGGGCCCGCACAAGCGGUGGAGCAUGUGGUUUAAUUCGAAGCAACGCGAAGAACCUUACCAGGUCUUGACAUCCCGAUGCUAUUUCUAGAGAUAGAAAGUUACUUCGGUACAUCGGUGACAGGUGGUGCAUGGUUGUCGUCAGCUCGUGUCGUGAGAUGUUGGGUUAAGUCCCGCAACGAGCGCAACCCCUAUUGUUAGUUGCCAUCAUUCAGUUGGGCACUCUAGCGAGACUGCCGGUAAUAAACCGGAGGAAGGUGGGGAUGACGUCAAAUCAUCAUGCCCCUUAUGACCUGGGCUACACACGUGCUACAAUGGUUGGUACAACGAGUUGCGAGUCGGUGACGGCAAGCUAAUCUCUUAAAGCCAAUCUCAGUUCGGAUUGUAGGCUGCAACUCGCCUACAUGAAGUCGGAAUCGCUAGUAAUCGCGGAUCAGCACGCCGCGGUGAAUACGUUCCCGGGCCU